CAGCCAUUUCUAAUGCACUGUUACUGACCCAGGAAAACUAGCAUCAAGUUUCAGGUGCCCCAAAUACACACUGUCAUGUCUCCUACAGUGGAUUUACACUGAGAAUGUUUUUGCUAAAAUAAUUAUAAACAGAAGCUCAAUUGCCCAGUUUCACCAAGAACAGAUCUCAGCGUGCACUUCUCAUGACUCUGCAGGAAGAUCCAGGAGAAAGGAAGGGAAGUAACUGCUAUUUCAUUGCAUCAUAAAAGCAUCGGCUGACAUUGCCAGCAAACAUACCAUUCCACAAGCAAUCUCCCAACAGGAACACCUCUGGAGCAUGGGGAAUCCAGCCUUAACAGAAACAACCCAGGGGCGGCCUGGGCUGGAAGGGACCUUGAACACCAUCUAGUUACAGACCACCUCAGCACCUGCAUUCAAUUACAUCACUGAUUUCUGCAGCUCCGCACCUGGCUAGAUACUGGUUUUGCCUUUGAUUUGUGGCAGGUGUGACCCAGAGCAUUUAGGGGUUCUCCAGCUAAAACCAAUUGCUUAUGCUAGAAGCUUAGCAGCAAAGCAGCCAUCAUUGCUCCCCCAAGGAACGCUUGCUAUGGCUAUGAAUUAAAGGUAAUAUCUAGAAGACACAGAAUAAAGUCAUAAUAAAAAUAUCCAUUAUGCUCAUACGUGCCAUUCUUGAACUUGCAAAAGCCAACGCUCACCACAAAACGCUGUGGAGAAAGCAGGGACCCCGACAAAUAAAUAAAUGUACAUUCUCCGCAGCAUUUCUUACCGCCAUUUCAGCACAGGGGCGCCCACCAGCCCGUGCCUGACGUGCCACCCAAAACACCGAGAUCCAGGAGACCUGCAGGAGCUCGGAGGCGCGGUGCUGCCAGCUGCGGGCGGUGCGAGUCCUCGCCCCGAACCCCUUCAGCCCCGUCCUCUGCUGCAGCUCCUCCACGCGAGCACGCAGCCCUCCGAAAUUACAGCGCUGGGACGCUAAGCGCAUCGAACCCGCUGCACGGGGAGAAGAACACACACUCACCUCAGUGCUGGGUGCUCGGCCGGCCAAGCCAAAAGGCGCUUAGAAAGCGGCAGCUCCCUGGCUCCGCGCGGCCGCCAUUCCGCGGCCCCCACGUGCAGCCCUUGCUGGAAGCUUCUGCGCCGCUGAGGGCCCGCACCUGUGGCCGCCGCGGCCGAGCUGCUUUCCCAUUGGCGCCGCAGGCCCCUCCCGCCCUUCCCGGGGGACAGCUGCGGGGGGUGGGCGCUAACGACGCUCCCGGCUUCUACGGGACACUGCUUUCUCACAUUUGGCACUCGAAGCACAGGAGUGUUUUUUAG
Molecule: long non-coding RNA, 1314 nt
Filed under: Numida meleagris (helmeted guineafowl)
Lineage: Eukaryota; Metazoa; Chordata; Aves; Galliformes; Numididae
Description: lncRNA (ENSNMEG00000014343.1)
Source: RNAcentral